This 378-nucleotide ribosomal RNA is filed under the name uncultured bacterium. RNAcentral's name for it is "bacterial SSU rRNA". It matches the Rfam family "Bacterial small subunit ribosomal RNA", at positions 29 to 433 of the family's 1533-position model. The record is from RNAcentral.
AACGAACGCUGGCGGCAUGCCUAACACAUGCAAGUCGAACGCGUGUAGCAAUACACGAGUGGCGGACGGGUGAGUAACGCGUGGGAACCUGCCCAGUGGUAGGGAAUAACUGCGGGAAACUGCAGCUAAUACCCUAUACGCCCUUUGGGGAAAGAUUCAUCGCCAUUGGAGGGGCCCGCGUCGGAUUAGCUAGUUGGCGGGGUAAUGGCCCACCAAGGCAACGAUCCGUAGCNGGUCUGAGAGGAUGAUCAGCCACACUGGGACUGAGAUACGGCCCAGACUCCUACGGGAGGCAGCAGUGGGGAAUAUUGGACAAUGGGGGAAACCCUGAUCCAGCAAUGCCGCGUGAGUGAAGAAGGCCUUCGGUUGUAAGUACUC